RNAcentral lists this ribosomal RNA (996 nucleotides) under Triticum aestivum (bread wheat). RNAcentral's name for it is "partial small subunit ribosomal RNA". The record is from RNAcentral. Lineage: Eukaryota; Viridiplantae; Streptophyta; Magnoliopsida; Poales; Poaceae.
AUGGCAAAGCAAGGUGUAGACUUCGGAGUGGCGCUGGUCCUUGUUGCCCUCGCAGCAUUUCCAGCAGUGCACUCCAUCGGCGUCUGCAACGGCGUGCUCGGCAGCGACCUGCCGGCGCCGAGCGACGUCGUGAAGCUCUACCAAUCCAAGGGCAUCAACGCCAUGCGGAUCUACGAGCCGGAGGGCAACGUCCUCAAGGCGCUCAGUGGCACGGGCAUCGCCGUCCUCAUGGACGUCGGCAAGGCGCUACCCAGCCUCGCCUCCAGCAGCUCCGCUGCGGCCGCCUGGGUAAAGGCCAACGUCUCCUCCUUCCCGGGCGUCUCCUUCCGCUACAUCGCCGUCGGCAACGAGGUCAUCGACAGCGCCGGCCAGAAGACCAUCCUCCCGGCCAUGAGGAACGUACAACGGGCGAUCGUGGCCGCCGGCCUCGGCGGCAGCGUCAAGGUGUCGACUUCCGUGCGGUUCGACGUGGUCAAGGACACUUCUCCGCCCUCCAACGGUGUGUUCGCGGACACAUCAUUCAUGGGGCCCAUCCUUGAGUUCCUGGCGAGCACCGGCGCACCGCUGCUGGUCAACGUCUACCCCUACUUCGCCUACGAGAAGGACCCGAAGAACAUCCAGCUCAACUUCGCUACUUUCGUGCCAGGCAGCACCACCGUGAACGACAAGGGGCUGACAUACACGAACCUCUUCGACGCCAUGGUCGACUCCAUCUACGCCGCGCUGGAGAAAGCCGGCAAGCCCGGGGUUAAGGUGGUCAUAUCCGAGAGCGGGUGGCCGUCGGACGAAGGUUUCGGGGCGACGGCGCAGAACGCGCGGACGUAUAACCAGGGGUUGAUCAACCACGUCGGCAACGGCACGCCCAAACGGCCCGGGCCGUUGGAGACGUACAUUUUCGCCAUGUUCAACGAGAACCUGAAGGACGGGGAGAAGAGCGAGAAGCAUUUUGGGCUGUUCAAUCCGGACACCUCGCCGGCCUAUUCCAUUACUUUCUGA